Long non-coding RNA from Lagopus muta (rock ptarmigan), 1620 nucleotides. RefSeq lists it as uncharacterized. NCBI's taxonomy places the organism in Eukaryota, Metazoa, Chordata, Aves, Galliformes, Phasianidae. The transcript has 5 exons. The record is from RefSeq and is a predicted model, not a curated record.
GGCAGAAGGCGCUCAGACGCUCCUCGGACUCCUUCGGAACGGACGGUGCGCUGCUGUCUCUGGGAGUCCGGUUGUUUUCUGGGGCAGAAUGGCGUGCAUCGUUUUCUGAGGUGAAGAGGAUGUUCUGUCUGUUGCUUCAUUUUGCGUGCAGGCUGUUCUGGAGAGGCGUAGCUUCCUCCCGGGGUUUUCGAGCGCUGGUGAUAUUUGCAGCCAUUCUGAAAUCUGCAGUGCAACAGCGAAUUCCACCUCUUGUAGAGGCUCGGGUUCUUCAUCACGUGAGUUAGCGGUGGUUUACCUAAGAGGAGGAGAGGACGUGUGUGCGUUCAUCAGACUCUGUCUUCAGGAAGUUCGAGAGCACAGUGAGGUCUGCACCUAGCUGCCGAUAGCCUGGAUUCAGCAGUUCCUUGUCUUUCGGAUGAUUGACAUCAGAGUUACGGAAUCACAAGCUUGGAAACGACCUGCAAGAUCAUCUAGUCCAACCACCCUCCCAUUCUUAUCAUUGCCACAAGCUACUCGACCAUCUCUCGUAGCUCCUCAUCCCGGCGCCUCUUGAACCCCGCCAGGGAUGGCGACUCCACCUCCUCCCUGGGCAGGCCAUUCCAGUGCCUGACCACCGUCUGAGAGAAUAAGUUUCUCCUAAUGUCCAACCUAAACCUCCUCUGGUAUGACUUCUUGCCAUUUCUUCGGGUCCUACUAUUUGCCUGGGAGAAGAGGUCGGACCCUUUUGCACUACAGCCUCCCUUCAGGAAGUUGUAGAGUCCCCUGAGCCUCCUCUUCUCCACACUGAACAAUCCCAGCUCCUUCAGCCUCUCCUCAUAAGACUUGUGCUCCAGACCCCUCACCAGUUUCGUUGCCCUUCUCUGGACACGCUCCAGGGCCUCAAUGUCUUUCUUGUAGUGAGGGGCCCCAAAACUGAACACAGUACUCGAGGUGCGGCCUCACCACUGCUGAGUAAAGGGGGAUGAUCACCUCCCUGCUCCUGCUGGCCACACUAUUUCUAAUGCAGGCCAGGAUGCCGUCGGCCCUCUUGGCCACUUGGGCACCCUGUCGGCUCAUGUUCAGCCGAGCAUCAACCAACACCCCAAGGUCCCUUUCCUCUUCACAAUCAUCCCACCACUCAUCCUCAAGGCUGUCACGCUGCCUAGGGUUGUUGUGGCCAAAGUGCAGAACCCGACUCUUGGCCUUGUUAAAGCUCAUCCCAUUCAUCUCAGGUCAGCGAUCCAGGUUACCUAGAUCCCUCUGCAGGGCUUCCCUGCCCUCAGGCAGAUCGACACACCCUCCCCACUUGGUGUCAUCUGCAAACUUACUCCGGGUACACUCAAUCCCUUCAUCUAAGUCAUCAAUAAAGAUAUUAAACAGGAUGGGCCCCAGCACCGACACCUGGGGGACACCACUUGUAACAGGUCUCCAGCUGGACUUCACUCCGUCGACCACCGCCUGUUGAGCACGGCUCUCCAGCCUUUUCCUUAUCCAACAGAGUGUAAAACUAUCCAAGCCACGGGCAGCCCCUUUGCCCGGUCCAAUCAUUGCGCUGAUUUCAGCGCCAGAAUUGGCUUUUGGCUUUCCAAAUUUGAGACUAAUGCGGUCUGAUCAUUUGGCUGAUUUCAGCAUUGUUAUUGC